RNAcentral lists this transfer RNA (67 nucleotides) under Eoneureclipsis hainanensis. Its description in RNAcentral is "tRNA-Asp". Lineage: Eukaryota; Metazoa; Arthropoda; Insecta; Trichoptera; Psychomyiidae. The record is from RNAcentral.
AAAGAAUUAGUUAACUAUUAUAACAUAAAUUUGUCAAAUUUAAAUAAUUUUUUAAAAAUAUUCUUUU